Long non-coding RNA from Apis cerana (Asiatic honeybee), 702 nucleotides. RefSeq lists it as uncharacterized. Lineage: Eukaryota; Metazoa; Arthropoda; Insecta; Hymenoptera; Apidae. The record is from RefSeq and is a predicted model, not a curated record.
GGUUUUCUUGCAGCCACGCUCCAACGUGCCAGUCAUACUAUAACCCAUGUUGAAGUCGCUCGACGAUACGUUCGACGUCAGGUACAACUGAAAAACAGAAGCAAACGAGCAUUAUUGCGAAAUUUUCUUUCUAUAGUGAAAGGUUGAUUACUCGAGUUUUGAUUAGCCAAUUAUUGUCGUGGAUACUAAUCUAAAAAAAAAAGAAUAAUUAAAUUAUUAUAAUCUAUUUUUGUAUUAGGAAAUUCAGAUUUAAUUUUUCCUGAUUAUACGUAAAAGCAUUUAUGCAAACAUGUUCCAAUUAGUCGGGUAAUUGACGUUCUAUUGUAUAUUUAAUAAUAUGCUCGCGUUUUCUUGUGUUCGUACCAUCGAAAAUCCGAUCGUCGACGAUCGUUUCGAGCUAGCCAACGAAAACAAAUAACGCGAGGGGUUAAAGUGGCGUAUACCUUGAAAUCAGGAUCGGUUGUCAUUCUUUUGAAAGAGCCGACGAUGUAAAGCGUACCAGUUCCUGUGUCCACCAUUUUUGCUUGAGUGCUGUACCUGAAACCACAAAAAUUUGAUCAGUGACGUGCAAAGUGAAAAUUAGAAUAUUAUUUCAAUCUUAAAAAUAACAAUGUUUACGAUUUUUAUGAACGUAUAUCUAAUUGAAUGUUAACAGAUAGUUAAUAAAACAUACAGAAUAAAGUGGGAUAAGAAAAAUUAAAA